AUUUGUUGCUAUUUGCAAACUCCCAUAACAAAAUGCAAAGGAUAAAAAUAGGUCAUCUCCAAGGGAAUUGGCAUUUGGACUUGGCAAAGGAUAAAAAUAAAAGGUCUCCAGGCACGCGCGCUUUCCUCACGUGUGACUUUACUCGCGCAAUCAGGUUUGCAAAGUCGUCCACAACUUGGCAUUUUUGCCAAGUUUGCUCCCUCAUUUGCCAAGUUACCCAAAUUGCAAACUCCAAAUGCAAAACCGUUGGAUACCUCUU
RNAcentral lists this long non-coding RNA (259 nucleotides) under Sorghum bicolor (sorghum). Its description in RNAcentral is "long non-coding RNA (SBIC_LNC009018)". The record is from RNAcentral. Lineage: Eukaryota; Viridiplantae; Streptophyta; Magnoliopsida; Poales; Poaceae.